RNAcentral lists this ribosomal RNA (254 nucleotides) under uncultured bacterium. Its description in RNAcentral is "partial 16S ribosomal RNA". It matches the Rfam family "Bacterial small subunit ribosomal RNA", at positions 524 to 776 of the family's 1533-position model. The record is from RNAcentral.
UACGGGGGGGGGCAAGCGUUGUUCGGAAUUACUGGGCGUAAAGGGCUCGUAGGCGGCCAACUAAGUCGGAUGUGAAAUCCCCAGGCUUAACCUGGGAACUGCAUCCGAUACUGGAUGGCUUGAAUCCGGGAGAGGGAUGCAGAAUUCCAGGUGUAGCGGUGAAAUGCGUAGAUAUCUGGAGGAAUACCGGUGGCGAAGGCGGCACCCUGGACCGGCAUUGACGCUGAUGAGCGAAAGCUAGGGGAGCAAACGGG